Molecule: unclassified non-coding RNA, 183 nt
Filed under: soil metagenome
Description: partial contains 5.8S ribosomal RNA, internal transcribed spacer 2, and large subunit ribosomal RNA
Source: RNAcentral
AACGAGGCCGACCUGCGGCUGAGUUACCUGCGGAAGGAUCAUUAAUGAUUGACCGAAAGGUCCUAUCUUAACAUCCCUCACCUCUGUGAACCGUUUGACCUCCGGGUCUAACAAACUAUACAAACAUCAGUGUAAUGAACGUCUUGUUAUCUUAACAAAAACAAAACUUUUAACAACGGAUCU